GCUGGUGGAUAUAGCGAAGUGGAAAUACCCAGAUCCAUACCGAACCUGGAAGUCAAGCACUUCUGCGCUGAUAAUACUGCACCUUUCAGGUGUGGAAACGUAGGCCUCUGCCAGCUCUUGAGUUUUU
Molecule: ribosomal RNA, 127 nt
Filed under: Malaciobacter marinus
Lineage: Bacteria; Pseudomonadati; Campylobacterota; Epsilonproteobacteria; Campylobacterales; Arcobacteraceae
Source: RNAcentral